AGAAUCAACGCUGGCGGCGUGCCUCAGACAUGCAAGUCGAACGAUUAAAGCUCUCUUCGGAGAGUGUAUAGAGUGGCGCACGGGUGAGUAACACGUAAGUAAUCUACCCUCGAGUGGGGAAUAACGUCCGGAAACGGACGCUAAUACCGCAUAAUGCAGCGGCACCGCAAGGUGACAGUUGUUAAAGAUUUAUCGCUUGAGGAGGAGCUUGCGGCAGAUUAGCUAGUUGGUAAGGUAAUGGCUUACCAAGGCUACGAUCUGUAACCGGUCUAAGAGGACGGUCGGUCACACUGACACUGAAUAACGGGUCAGACUCCUACGGGAGGCAGCAGUCGGGAAUUUUGGGCAAUGGGCGAAAGCCUGACCCAGCAACGCCGCGUGAAGGAUGAAGUAUUUCGGUAUGUAAAACUUCGAAAAGAAAUGGGAAGAAUCAAUGACGGUACCAUUUAUAAAGGUCCGGCUAACUACGUGCCAGCAGCCGC
This 482-nucleotide ribosomal RNA is filed under the name uncultured soil bacterium. RNAcentral's name for it is "bacterial SSU rRNA". It matches the Rfam family "Bacterial small subunit ribosomal RNA", at positions 26 to 518 of the family's 1533-position model. The record is from RNAcentral.